This is a long non-coding RNA of Trifolium pratense (red clover), 327 nucleotides long. RefSeq lists it as uncharacterized. The transcript is spliced from 2 exons. The record is from RefSeq and is a predicted model, not a curated record. Lineage: Eukaryota; Viridiplantae; Streptophyta; Magnoliopsida; Fabales; Fabaceae.
AGUUAACAUUUAAAGGUACUCUCUUUCUCUAUUCGUCUAUUUUGUAUUCAUGAUCCUUGCAAAUAUUUGUGAUCUUUGCAUGUUAGAGACAAAAAUUACAACUCAAUAUUCACGUGUACAGCCGCAUCGUAACCGCACCACAACCGCAUCAGACAUUUUCGACGAUGUUGGUUCAAAUUUUCUCACAAAAAAAUAAAAUUUAUGACCUUUAAAUCAUAUAGUGUUUAUGAAUGUGUAUUUUAAGCACAUUCAAAUUAGUGUUUAUGGAAUAAACUAAGACUAUGCAAUGAUGAAUAAAUAAUAUAGUUACAUAGUAGUUUCCUUUUA